Molecule: ribosomal RNA, 1257 nt
Filed under: Listeria monocytogenes
Lineage: Bacteria; Bacillati; Bacillota; Bacilli; Caryophanales; Listeriaceae
Description: partial 23S ribosomal RNA
Rfam family: Bacterial large subunit ribosomal RNA
Source: RNAcentral
UUGGUUAAGUUAGAAAGGGCGCACGGUGGAUGCCUUGGCACUAGGAGCCGAAGAAGGACGGGACUAACACCGAUAUGCUUUGGGGAGCUGUACGUAAGCGUUGAUCCAGAGAUUUCCGAAUGGGGGAACCCACUAUCUUUAGUCGGAUAGUAUCCUUACGUGAAUACAUAGCGUGAGGAAGGCAGACCCAGGGAACUGAAACAUCUAAGUACCUGGAGGAAGAGAAAGAAAAAUCGAUUUCCUGAGUAGCGGCGAGCGAAACGGAAAGAGCCCAAACCAAGAAGCUUGCUUCUUGGGGUUGUAGGACACUCUAUACGGAGUUACAAAAGAAAGUUAUAAAUGAAGCGGUCUGGAAAGGCCCGCCAAAGACGGUAACAGCCCGGUAGUUGAAAUGGCUUUCCCUCCAGAGUGGAUCCUGAGUACGGCGGAACACGUGAAAUUCCGUCGGAAUCCGGGAGGACCAUCUCCCAAGGCUAAAUACUCCCUAGUGACCGAUAGUGAACCAGUACCGUGAGGGAAAGGUGAAAAGCACCCCGGAAGGGGAGUGAAACAGUUCCUGAAACCGUGUGCCUACAAGUAGUUAGAGCCCGUUAAUGGGUGAUAGCGUGCCUUUUGUAGAAUGAACCGGCGAGUUACGAUUUGUUGCAAGGUUAAGCGGAAAAAGCGGAGCCGUAGCGAAAGCGAGUCUGAAUAGGGCGCAUAAGUAACAGGUCGUAGACCCGAAACCAGGUGAUCUACCCAUGUCCAGGAUGAAGGUAAGGUAAUACUUACUGGAGGUCCGAACCCACGCACGUUGAAAAGUGCGGGGAUGAGGUGUGGGUAGCGGAGAAAUUCCAAUCGAACUUGGAGAUAGCUGGUUCUCUCCGAAAUAGCUUUAGGGCUAGCCUCGAGGUAAAGAGUCAUGGAGGUAGAGCACUGUUUGGACUAGGGGCCCUUCUCGGGUUACCGAAUUCAGAUAAACUCCGAAUGCCAUGUACUUAUACUCGGGAGUCAGACUGCGAGUGAUAAGAUCCGUAGUCGAAAGGGAAACAGCCCAGACCACCAGUUAAGGUCCCCAAAUAUAUGUUAAGUGGAAAAGGAUGUGGGGUUGCUUAGACAACCAGGAUGUUGGCUUAGAAGCAGCCACCAUUGAAAGAGUGCGUAAUAGCUCACUGGUCGAGUGACCCCGCGCCGAAAAUGUACCGGGGCUAAACAUAUUACCGAAACUGUGGAUGAACCUCUUUAGAGGUUCGUGGUAGGAGAGCGUUCUAAGGGCGG